AUCCUUUUUUGUAUCCAACAGGCUGUAAAGCACAGACCGUGACGCUUUUGGGCCUGGAAAGAAAACGGGAGAGUCAGGGUCUCCCUACACCCCCUCUUCAAUUAAACUCAGGCCUUCAGGUCUGAGAAAGGCCACAGUAGAGAGGGGGAAGGGCCUGAUGUCGGUGUCUGCGAGGGAGCUGAACGAGCUAUCUCACUGUAACACCUGCCAAGAAAUACAAAGGACUUCUAGAUGACGAACAGCCUUCCUCCUACGCAUCCUCAUCAAGCC
Molecule: long non-coding RNA, 270 nt
Organism: Esox lucius (northern pike)
Lineage: Eukaryota; Metazoa; Chordata; Actinopteri; Esociformes; Esocidae
Exons: 3
Source: RefSeq, a predicted model, not a curated record